UCGCAAGCAACAGCAGCAGCGGCUACGCAAAUGGUGAAAUUGAAGCCGCACAGUUUUUCCGACUUUGCAACGCCGCGCGCGUAUCACACGCGCGUCGUGAGAAAUUAAUCACUCUCCCGAGGGAAACCAGAGAGAGAGAGCGGGAGAGAGAGCAAGUUUUUUCCUUCGUGAGAGGGAGAGGCGGUGUGUGUUUCGUCAAGUCGCGCGCGCGUUCUGCGUUCAAGAUUUUCCCGACGUCGCGACGCCACCUUCGUCGAAGAAGACACAGUCGUCGUCGUCGCAUCCGGAACCCCAGUCGACGAAGGCGAACGGCGAGGCCGGUUCAGUCGAUAGUGAACCACCGAACCGAACCGGAGUGCCAACCCCGAACUACUAGGAAGCCGCCCCUGGCGUGUGUGAUUGUCUAGAGCAGAGAAGAGAGAAGCAGCAGUUCUUCGACGUCGAGCAGUUUGUUGCAGGUCCUGGCGUAAGGAGGACGAAGAUCACGUGCGGGUCGAUCAGGUCGUCGAUUCCGCAACGGCCGAGAAUCCGUUACAUAAGGUUUUGCGUGCGCGCGACAUUGGAGGGUCAGCUCUCUCAGCUGUAGUACUGACUGACGGACUUUGCAGCACUUCGCACAACGCGUGGCCGAAAGGUGUGUAGAGCUUGAGACAGAUUCUACGAAGAAACGCCAGCCCAGAGCGAUCGAACCAACAAACCGGUGCGCGACCGUUGUGCGUAUUUGUGAAAAUGUGACCAGUCCUCUCGGUUGUGUUGCGGUUGUGGGUGCCAAUGUGAAAAUUGUACCGCGUAACCCCAAAAUAAAAUUAGUCAAUUUUGCGAGGCAGAAGACAACGACGACGGUGACGAAGAGCGCGAGUGUGUGUGUGUCCGCGAAGAGGUCAGAAUCUGGUGAGGAAAAGUUACACUUUUUACCCCGUAAGUAACCGUGAAAUGAGUCACCUCGCGAAGGUGUGAGUGCGCCGCCGAGCGAGUACACAAAUGAUAAAUCUUGCACGAGAGUUGAAUAAUCGCACGAGGAAAAUCAACACAGAAGAUCAUCAGUGAAGUGAGGCAAGAUCAUCAGGCGCACGGCGAGGAAAGGUGUGCGGCGACGGCGAAGGCGGGCCCAGUGAGACAUAUCGUCGUGAGAUCAGACACACUUUUUUCACAAUCGUUCACAGGGUUUGUGGAUCACGACGAAGAUCUAGGGCACGAAGCGAGAGCGAGAGAGAAGAAAGAUCGCAUGAUCAGCAGUGAGUGCAUGCAAGUGAGUGAGCUAGAGUGAAAGAUACACGGGGAUACCCUUCUCGAAGUUAAUGUGUGCAUUAGAGGAAGAAGAAUCGAAUCGUCUGUGUUGUGCCUAGGAAGAGCGAAGAAGACUACACGGCUGCAGUCCAGCAAAUCGACGACGCAACGGAAACGUCAGAAAAGAUUAUGGACCUUUCUGAACCGGAAGAGUUGAGGAAGCGGUUCCGCGUGCGUGCAGCUCAUUCGAUGAGUGAAGCGUGAGUGUCGCGUGAGCGCGCGGUCACUCACCAGUGAGAGAGUAGUUUUACGAAUUGUGGUGCCCAAAAUUGCGAGUCUGGGGGUGCACGUUUGGGUGCAAGCGGAAAACGAUGAAGAAGAUAAUUGACAUGCGUCACUGUAGAUCUACGAAGAAGUUCAAGCUAAUAUUGCUGAUCCGAGCCAACCGCUACCGAGAGGCGCCCUAAGCUUUGGGCGGACGUGUCUUUGUGUCACGCGAGUGUGUGUGUGUGUGUCGGAUUUUGUGUCAAACUCGCCCCCGGGGGGAAUUUCGCGGCGGUUGGUGCCCUAGGGACCUCUAGGCAGCGACCCAUCCAAGCGGAGCAAAGCCGGACGCCAUGUACUUGCGCAAAUGGAGUCCGAUUAAAUAUCUGAUGUACUUAUGGCUAGCAAUUCUAGUGUGGAUAUUCUGUCGGUGUGAGAGCGUCGCCACGAUGCACCUGGCGCCAGUUGGAGUUAGUAGCAGCAGCAGCAGUAGCAGCGGCGGCAGUAGCUUAAGUAGUAGUACUAGCGUUAGUAGUGGCAGCAGCAGUAGUAGGAAUAGUAUAGCGGAGCAGCUGUUUGCCAAUGGGAUGCACUAUCGGGGCAGCGGUUCCACCAGUCCGUACCAGUGGCGCCCGUCGGAAGUGACCACUCAACGGUCGGCUACAUUUACCAAAACCCUUGACCGCCGGUGGACGCCGACGCCACCAGCUCAAGUGGCCAGCAGUUCCUUCUCGUCAUCCUCCUCCUCCUCUUCCUCCAGCUAUCACCAUCCUAUUAAUUAUGCUAAUCGUGUGCUCGUAGAGAAUGCCAAUAAGCAGCUGAUAAGCCAUGGGCGCCCCUUGAAGGAUCAGCUAGCAGCUAGCAGCCUAAGUCAGUCAUCCACUAGCGACAACCAUAGUAGUAGUAUUAUUAGCACCAGUAGUAGUAUUAACGUCGAAGCUGUCCAAGCCGAGCAGCGAUUGCAGCACCAAUGGCGGCUCCGGAUGAGUCAGAAACGAGCCCGACGGCUUGCCCAUCGGACUCAACUGGCCAACCGCAACCGGCGGGACUCGGUCCGACCGUUGCCAACCUCCGGCAGUCAGCAGCAGGCGCCCAGCCGGCGUCCUCCCAACCAACAGGGACCCACGGCGAACCUGCCGGCCAACGGACGGCGCUACUGUUCCGCCCGGGAUCCUGCCACGCUGGCCUUUGACGCCCCGAUCGUGUUCGAGGGCAAGGUCAAGUCGAUGAGCAGCGACCGGAGGGCCAACUUUUCCGUCACCUUCGAGCUGGUGGCGGUCCACAAAAAGUACACCAAGUUCUACCUGCCCAGCAACGUGCGGCUCCAGUUCUCGUACCGGAACAACUCCGAGUGCGACAUCUACCGGGAGACGUACCGCGAGCGGGGCAUUGUCCGCGAAGAGCUCGAACAGGGCAAGGUGUACUUUCUGUUCGUGAAGCAGAUCGACGUCGGCAACUUUACCAUCCUCGGGCAGCCGAUCCGCAAGACCAGACGUACCACGAACGGGGUGCUCGAGGGGGUGAGCGAAAAGUAUGGUAAACGCCCGGAGAUCUAUUCCAUCACGUCGAACGUGACGCGGCAGGAGGGCAAACGGGUGCGUCUGGUGUGCAAGGUGCGGGGGCAGCCGCCGCCGAAAGUGACGUGGUUCAAGGACAAACGGUCCAUCAACCGGAACGUGACGAAAUACGCUCAAGUACACCUCAAAAAACGAUCCGAGCUCAUCAUUCAUUCGGUGAUUCCCAGUGAUGCUGGAGAGUACGAGUGCCGAGCUAAAAAUAAAUACGCCAAGAUUUCCAACUCGACGCACGUUCGAAUAACGGCCAAACAUUCGAGCACCAAGCAGCCAACAACGCCGGCCACGCCGGAACCUCCGUACAAACCGCGGCCAUGCCGGGGCCCUGGCGCUGAGCACUUCUGUCUGAACAGUGGCACCUGCAUUCACUUCGAGGAACUCCAAGAGUGGGCAUGCACAUGUCCCAAAGGAUUCUCGGGCAACAAGUGCGAGAACAAAGACAUCGACUACCACCCGACGACGUCCAGCAAGCACCAGGACUGCUCGUACGGUUACGGAUACGGAGCACCGCGAUGGCCAAGACUUCCCUCGCCGCCGCAGCCGUCAUACUCCCGUUUGUGUACCCGUUGAGAUUGGGAUCAAAUCGAAUCCCUCCGACGAAGAAGAAAAAAUCCGGAAGAACCAGACUGUAGCGCUUAAGGUCACCCCGAGUGCGCCGACUUCCUGCUGAUGGAUUCCCCGGCGGUGGCGGCGUCCCUUCCGGUCGUGCCCCCGCUGUACGACUACGAUGACGAUGCCGACAUCUAGAGACAGAGUGCUGCGCUCCUGAAUCUCAGCCUUAAUCUUCGUGCCAAGGAUACAGAAAGAAAAAAACACGGGCGAUUUAUGCGAACUAUAUCUCGAAAUCAACAAAACAAAAGAAAAAAAGCAGCACAGAUAAACACAGUCGACAAUGCUACUAAUGAAAUUCCAUUCAAUUUAAGUGAUUGUGUAUAAAUAAUCUAACAUUUUGCUAGACAUAUUGCAGAAAACUAAAAGUUGUUUUAAACUGGGUAGGAAAACAGAGCAAAGGAAACGAUCGUGUGACGAUCUCUCUCCGCACACACGAAUUUGAAAA
This is an RNA transcript of Culex pipiens pallens (northern house mosquito), 4122 nucleotides long. It is a transcript of the gene named protein vein, with no coding region annotated. Lineage: Eukaryota; Metazoa; Arthropoda; Insecta; Diptera; Culicidae. The record is from RefSeq and is a predicted model, not a curated record. The transcript is spliced from 8 exons.